CUCAUUCUCAAGGUGCUUGAUGUUUAGAACCUAUCUCAAUUAAGAUUAAAUAAUCUCAAUCUACAACAUAAUAUUUAUAACUUCAACAAUGCAUACGCAAACCGUACCCCUACGUGGAGAGGCAGAGAAGUUGUUUCCGAUAUAAUAUUUACAACUUCAAUCCAAAAUAAUUGUAUUCUGAAUAAAGAGAAAAUAUUUGAAAACUAUUCUGAACAAUCUGCAUCCACAAGUAGAUGUGUGGUGACCCAAGCAUACUUGGAUGGAUCGGGUCAAAAUUGACUCCGACAAACUUACAUGAUUAAAAUUGUUUCGACCUGUCAAUUUGACACCUCUAGAUUAUCAUCCCCUCAUUGGAGAUAACCUUUAAGGAAAUGGAGAUAUUAUUUCCAAAAACUUGCUUGCUUUGGUUCAAACUUCUCCACAAGAAACAACACCAACUUGACUUGUCAACCAAGACGGACGAGCAAAUGAAUUGUGCACUAAAUUUUAUUAUAUCUUAACAUACGAGUAAUUAACCAUCACCAUUUCACUAAACCUCUAUGCUUUCCUGGUCAUUAAUUUACAGUCAACAAAAAUUUAGAAGUGUAACAAUAGAAUGAAGGUGACAAAAUAAUAGUGGUAUGCAGUGCCUAAGUUUACCGUCAACAAAAAUUUAGAACUGUAACAAUAGAAUGAAGGUGACAAAAUAAUAGUGGUAUGCAGUGCCUAAUAACUGGCAUAUUUCGACUUUUUAAAUAAUAAACUGGAAACAUCUACGACUAUUCGAAUUGUUCCCAGUCCUCUGUCACUACAGUAGAAGACGGUCUAGGAGGUGGC
RNAcentral lists this long non-coding RNA (816 nucleotides) under Nicotiana benthamiana. RNAcentral's name for it is "long non-coding RNA (NBEN_LNC008701)". The record is from RNAcentral. Lineage: Eukaryota; Viridiplantae; Streptophyta; Magnoliopsida; Solanales; Solanaceae.